Long non-coding RNA from Dreissena polymorpha, 2357 nucleotides. RefSeq lists it as uncharacterized. The record is from RefSeq and is a predicted model, not a curated record. Lineage: Eukaryota; Metazoa; Mollusca; Bivalvia; Myida; Dreissenidae. The transcript is spliced from 2 exons.
UAUCAAUAUGUCCCGUAGCGUAUUCAGUCUUCGUUCAGAGUGUUACGAACGAAAAACACAAUGGCGGAGAAAGGUUCGGAUUUAAUAUACGAGGUGUGCUGUGUUUUUUGUAAAGACGACAACGUAAAUUGGGAAGCAACAGUUUACUGUAAACAAUGUUCGAAAGGUCUUUGUGAUGAAUGUGUAAAGUAUCAUAAGAAGCUUUACAAAACUCAGUCCACUCUUAGAAGAGAAGACAAAAAGAUGUGGCCUGUGGUCGAUACAACAUGAGAGGCUUUGAUGUUUUGUAAACAACACCCAGAUCAUCUCAUUGAGCUGUUUUGUGAAGAUCACAGUAAACUGUGUUGUUUUUUGUGUCACUUCCAUGAUCACAGGCUCUUAUUCCUUUUGUAAAGGUCAAAUACCCGAUUGUGUAACAGUGCAUUGAAGUUAGCCUAGUUGACGCAAAAGCCAAAGAAAUGCAUCAAAAAGGAGAGUUUCUUAAAGUUGCAACAAUACUUGAAUCAGAACAACAAACAAUUGAACAAGAAAUCAACACCAUCAAGACAUGCCUUCAGGCUUUGCAAACCUCGCAUGAAAAGGCGCAUGUAGAUAUCAAAGUUAUGCGUCAGAAAAUCACUGCACUUUUGGACACGCUAGAAAGGAACAGUGUGCAAUCUCUAAACACUUCAUACGAAACGUUGCAGAAAUCAUCGCUUCAGUCGCAUCUUUCAAUCUGUUUUAAAGCUCAAGAAGAUUUGCUGCAAAUUAAGGAUGCCAUAAAGGAUAUCGACGAUUAGAAGUACAUAUUUUCAUUUGUGGCAUAUGCGAAGUCAAAGGAAUAGGUUUCCAAGGCACAGAUGAUGAUUAAAACAAUGUCAGAACUUAAGUAUAAUGCCGUUGAAUUUCGCGCUAACACGGAUAUUGAGCAGAUGCUAUCCAUGUCUCUCAGGACUUGGUGAUGUGAUGCGUAUAGAAAAGAAGAAAGUAAGUAAAGCAAAUGAGAAAUUGAAAUGUACCAACUAUGCUAGGUACAAUGUCCGAAUAGACCAAGAUAAAAAGCUGUAAUAUUCGUGGCAUAUCUGAGGUAUCAGGUGGGUAUAUGCUGAUAAGUGACUAUAGUAACAAACGUGUGAAAUUGCUUGAUGGCCAAUGCAAAGUUAUCGCUCACAGAGACCUACCUGGGGCGCCAUGGGACAUGUGCAGUAUAAGUCCUACUGAGAUCGCUGUUACAAUUGAUGAUCAAAGUACACACGCUGUGCAAUUCCUUAUUGUGAACAACAGGAAGCUGGUGAAAAACAGGGUACUGGAGUUGGAAUAUAGUUGUCUAGGCAUCGCACACUUUAAUGGCAAUCUAUUUAUGACAUCGGGUAGUUAUUUGUAUUCACUGGAUGGCGAGCUGGUGAAUAAGAUAUUUGAAGAUAUGUCUGAUAUAUGGACAGGUGAAAAAACAUGUAAGACUAAGAUAGAAAAUUGUGAUAAACUCAACAUUAAUUUUUCUAUUACAAAUAUUAUUUACUUCUUAAAUCAUGCAUACGCUUUGUUAAAUUUAUACAAAGUUGUAUGGACCAUAAGUGUUCUUGUUUAAAUGUGUAUAUGAUUAAUUGAAUAUAUACACAAAUCGUUUACAUAUAAUAAGGGCAUAAUUUAUUGGAAAAAUUGUGUUUGAACUUUUAUUUUGUUAAGUAAUUUAUCCAGAUUAUGCAGGUUUUUGGCCUGGGGCAAAGCCCCUAGGCCAAAGUAGUUAAACCGUUUUUUGAAGUGAGCUGACUUGGCUGGCUGCCAAAACAACCGCGAAUGAAUGAAUUUGGAAAAGUCCGAUUUACCACUUGGCGGUCAUUCAUACGCAAUCAAAGAAGAGGGACCUAUACAAACAAAUAGGUCCCUGCAAAGAAGUUCUCAAUUACUCGCAUUAUGAAUACAUAACAUCACUAUAUAACAUGACAGUGUCAUAAAACGUGUAAAAAAUAUUAUUGAAGCAAAAUUCCUAAGCAUUGGAUACGGCAUAGUUUUUAUUAUUGUUUGCAUAUUCAUGCGAGAAUCUCACUUCCGUUUUAUGAAUGAAAUUCCAGGGAAACACUCUUUUCCAUUUUCCUGAUUCCAUUGGCUGUUUCGUCCCCUGUUUCGAUUGGCUGUUUCGGCUAUGGAAAAUAGUUGUAUUGCCAUACACGAGAAAGACCGGUUAUGGAAGAGAAAGACCGGUUAUAAAACAUUUAGUUUUAGAAAGACGUCCGAGGACUAAAAGAUAAAAAGUAAAUAGUAAUAACAUAAAUUUCAUUCUUAAAUACGAAUGAAAUUAUAUGUACUGGUACUAGUCUUCUAUCUGCAAUGGUCAAAUAUGGAUGUGUAUGGUGUACUUAAUAAAUAAAUAAACUACA